CCGUCGAUAGCUCAGUUGGCAGAGCGAUGGACUGUAGAACCAUAAGUCGUUAAUUAGACUCCGGCUCGACGGA
Molecule: transfer RNA, 73 nt
Filed under: Caerostris darwini
Lineage: Eukaryota; Metazoa; Arthropoda; Arachnida; Araneae; Araneidae
Description: tRNA-Tyr
Rfam family: tRNA
About the family: Transfer RNA (tRNA) molecules are approximately 80 nucleotides in length. Their secondary structure includes four short double-helical elements and three loops (D, anti-codon, and T loops).
Source: RNAcentral